CACAUCAGUGCGCUAUGCUGACGUGGACACAAAUCGCGUUCUGAAGGUCGCGCUUUGUUGCCACAUAAGCAAAGCGCGCUGAUGUGG
Gossypium hirsutum (cotton) is the source of this 87-nucleotide non-coding RNA. NCBI's taxonomy places the organism in Eukaryota, Viridiplantae, Streptophyta, Magnoliopsida, Malvales, Malvaceae. The record is from Rfam.